RNAcentral lists this transfer RNA (69 nucleotides) under Dario dario. RNAcentral describes it as "tRNA-Arg". It matches the Rfam family "tRNA". Rfam says of the family: Transfer RNA (tRNA) molecules are approximately 80 nucleotides in length. Their secondary structure includes four short double-helical elements and three loops (D, anti-codon, and T loops). The record is from RNAcentral. Lineage: Eukaryota; Metazoa; Chordata; Actinopteri; Anabantiformes; Badidae.
AGGUUUUUAGUUUAAGUAAAACUCUUGAUUUCGACUCAAAAACUCAUGGUUAAAGUCCAUGACUGCCUA